This 3060-nucleotide long non-coding RNA is filed under the name Olea europaea subsp. europaea. Lineage: Eukaryota; Viridiplantae; Streptophyta; Magnoliopsida; Lamiales; Oleaceae. The record is from RNAcentral.
CGCUUCUCCUCAUAUCAAAAACCGUCCAGAUUUUUCUACAAAAUUCUCUUGUUUCCGUUACAAUAUUCGGUCGAGAGCUCUCAGAAUCGAGAUUUACUUUGGUUCCUAUUGAAAUUCAUCGCUUUAAUCUGUAAGUUUCUUCCAUAUUACUUUUAAUUUUAUUGUUUUAUGUCGUGAUAUGAUGUGCGGUUUUUAGAUCGGCGAUUGGAUCUUGCUUUAUUCUAGUUCCUAGGGUAUAAUUUUAUUUGUAUUGAUUUAUUGUUUCGUAUCAUGAUUGGAAGUGUAUUAUUGCCAUUUUUACGACAUUUUGGUUUAUUUAUAGGGCUUGAUUUUGUUUAUAUCGUUUUAUUGUUUCAUAUCAUCAGUGUAUUCUCAGGAUUUUGUUAUUGUAAUCUGGGUUUGAUCAUCGAAGCUUUCUGAACGAAGGAAGGUUUUUGUCUGCCUAUCUCUCAUAUUUCCAAUCGUAUGCGUCAUUUGUUGGUUUUCUUUUUGCCCCUUCGAUUUUGAAACGUUAUAUGAACCAUAAAUUUAUUUGUUCGUGGAUGAAUUUUGGCUUUUGCAUUGGCCGUUUAUUACAACCGAUCAUUAAAAAUUGAUGUUUAUUUAAAACUUCUAUUAUUUACUAUAGUUUUUCUCUCACUUAGUGUUUUCAGCCGAAGAGUGAAUCGUGUUUUAGACUGAUGUCAGGUUUAGAGGAGUGAAUCGUGUUUUAGACUGAUGUGAGGUAUAGAGGCUUCUUUUUAUGUGAAUCUAGAAAUUCGCAUUGCAGCCACUAGUUCAAUUAUGCUUACUUGUUAGUAGAUGGGGAAAAAAUGUGUUUACAAUAUUAGUGUAUCGUGUAUUGUUUGUGAUUUUAGCGGGUGAAUAUUUAUUCACCUUAUACCCUUCCUCCUCGAAUUCUUCUAUAGUUCUCCUCCUUUUUUUUGCAUUACUGUUCUCUUGAUGUUAUUUUAUUACUUACCCUUCAUUCCUAUUUUAUCUAACCUACAUUCCUUUUGUGAUUGUAAAAUGCUGAUGAUAGUUUCCAGCCUCCAGGUUUUUUGUCAGCAUUAAUGAAUAGCUCAACUGGUGUCUGACUUCGUUUGCUAUGCAUGCCUAUAACAGUUUUUUCUCAGUUAAAUUGAUGUUCCCAUCUGGUUUUGAUACUUGUCUUUGAUUGUUUUAACAGCUAAGACCGAAUGAUCUGAUGGAAUCAAAGGGUGGGAAGAAGUCUAGUAGUAGUAAAUCCUUAUUCUACGAAGCUCCACUUGGAUACAGCAUUGAAGACGUUCGACCACACGGAGGAAUCAAGAAAUUCAAAUCUGCUGCAUACUCUAACGUGAGUUUGAUGUCUUCUGUUCUUUUGGUUUUUUUUCUUAGAUCAUCAUGUAAGUGCCAUGUUUUUAAUUUGCGUUCUUUAUCUGCAGUGUGCGCGGAAGCCAUCCUGAGAUCUGUUGGGUUGUGCAAUAACCACCAGAGGUGGUUUAAGGAACAGUGUCUACAUUAAAAUUCAGCAACUGUCUUUGUUUAAUUUCUUAUUUCCAGCUACCGUCUUUGUUUAAUUUCUUAUUUCCUUGUCCUUGUUCUUGCUUUCCACUUCACUCCUUUCCUUCAAGACAAAAUGGCCUUGACAGUUUCUGCGAUUGGAUUUGAAGGUUAUGAAAAGAGGCUUGAGAUUUCUUUUUACGAACCUGGAAUAUUUUCUGACCCUGGAGGUCUUGGCCUCCGAUCUUUGUCCAAAUCUCAAUUGGAUGAAAUUCUAGACCCAGCUCAGUGCACCAUUGUGUCUUCGUUGUCUAAUGAUGAAGUCGAUUCAUAUGUCCUAUCAGAGUCUAGCCUUUUUGUGUACCCAUACAAGAUAAUAAUUAAAACUUGUGGGACUACAAAGCUGCUGCUUUCUAUCCCAAUCAUCCUCAAGCUUGCUGAUAUCCUCGGACUCACCGUGAGUUCUGUAAGAUACACCCGUGGAAGUUUCAUAUUUCCUGGGGCUCAGCCAUUUCCGCAUCGUAGCUUUUCUGAAGAAGUAGCUGCUCUAGACGGCUAUUUUGGCAAACGUGGGCUGAGCAGCAACGCCUAUGUGAUGGGUGGUGCUGAUGAAGAUCAGAAAUGGCAUGUCUACUGUGCAUCAGCUACCCUGACGGAUGAUCUGGGUCCGGUAUACACCCUAGAAAUGUGCAUGACUAAUUUGAACCAGAAGAGGGCCUCUGUAUUUUACAAAACUCAAUCAAGCUCUGCAGCUGUCAUGACUGAAGCUUCCGGCAUCAGGAAAAUUCUCCCCAAUUCUGAGAUAUGUGAUUUUGAUUUUGAUCCCUGUGGUUACUCCAUGAAUGCCGUUGAAGGUGCUGCAAUCUCUACAAUUCAUGUGACUCCAGAGUAUGGCUUCAGUUAUGCAAGUUUUGAAGCAGUUGGAUAUGAUUUCAAAGUGGUUGAUUUGUCCCUCCUGCUUGAGAGGGUACUGGCUUGCUUCCAACCUGCCAAGUUUUCUGUAGCUUUGCAUUCUUCUGUUGCCAGGAAGGACCUUGAUCUGGACUUCACGCUUAAUAUGAAUGGAUAUGCAUGUGGAGGAAGGAGCUUUGAAGUUGCUGGUCAUGGAGGAUCUGUUAACUAUAGCAGCUUUAUCAGUGCUGGAAACUGCGGUUCUCCAAGGUCUAUUCUGCAAUUCUGCUGGAACGAUGACCAGGGCAAGGAAGUCGAGAAGAAAUAAUUAUGCACAUGGUUUUCUCGACUAAGUAGUAGUGUCUUUAGUGUGGUUGAUAAUAAGAUGCUGAGAUUAUUCAGCCUUUUACUUUACUGAACUAUUCUCUAUUUAGCGUGUGGAGUCUCCGAGUGUUGGAGCAUCAAUAAAUUAGUUUAGUUUUUUCAAUAAAAUCAGUUGACUGUGUAGAUGGUCCUGAUGUGUGUGAUAAAUUUUCAGAAGGCUGAGAUAAUAUUGACACUGUUUUCCUUGUGCGUACUUCCAAUUUGUGCCAGUUUUGCAUUUGCUCAUUAUAUUAUUCUCUGAUGCACGCUUGAAAUUAUAUUGACAUGUUUGUUGCCAAAAGACUGUUAAUUUUGGUCCUGGUCCUGGACCUGGAAAAUAAG